UACGUAGGGUGCAAGCGUUGUCCGGAAUUACUGGGCGUAAAGCGCACGUAGGCGGCUUCUUAAGUCGGUGGUGAAAUCCUGGAGCUCAACUCCAGAACUGCCUUCGAUACUGGGAAGCUCGAGUCCGGGAGAGGUGAGUGGAACUGCGAGUGUAGAGGUGAAAUUCGUAGAUAUUCGCAAGAACACCAGUGGCGAAGGCGGCUCACUGGCCCGGUACUGACGCUGAGGUGCGAAAGCGUGGGUAGCAAACAGG
RNAcentral lists this ribosomal RNA (253 nucleotides) under uncultured bacterium. Its description in RNAcentral is "partial 16S ribosomal RNA". It matches the Rfam family "Bacterial small subunit ribosomal RNA", at positions 524 to 776 of the family's 1533-position model. The record is from RNAcentral.